Molecule: microRNA, 19 nt
Filed under: Macrophomina phaseolina MS6
Lineage: Eukaryota; Fungi; Ascomycota; Dothideomycetes; Botryosphaeriales; Botryosphaeriaceae
Description: miR-2861
Source: RNAcentral
GGGGCUUAGCGGCGGGCGG